Long non-coding RNA from Varanus komodoensis (Komodo dragon), 1682 nucleotides. RefSeq lists it as uncharacterized. The record is from RefSeq and is a predicted model, not a curated record. Lineage: Eukaryota; Metazoa; Chordata; Lepidosauria; Squamata; Varanidae. The transcript has 2 exons.
CAGUCUUCUCUGAAAAGAUCUGUGACCUUCUUGGUGAAGUACAAGCUGAAGGAACAGGAUGGCAGCUCAAGAGUGACAAGCAAAUGGUCAAGUAUCAUCUUAUAGGAUUAAAUGAGUUCAAAUCUCCAGGGCCCAAUGAACUCCAUCCUAGAGUCAUAAUGAAGCUGGUGGAAGAACUCUCAGAACCACUGUCUAUUAUCUCUGAGAAAUCAUGGAGGAUGGGGCGUGCCAGAUAACUAGAGAAGGCCUAAUGUUGUCCCCAUCUUCAAGAAAAGGAAAAAAGAAGCACAUGGGAACAGCAGACCAGUCAGUUUGACAUCAAUCCCUGGGAAAAUUCUGGAGCAGAGUAUAAACAGUGCAUCUCAAACAUCUAGAAAACAGUGCAGUGCUUACUAGAAACUAACAUGGAUUUCUCAAGAACAAAUCCUGCCAGACUAGUCUGAAUUCAGACUUUGAUUGGGUAACUUCCCUGAUGGACUGUGGGAAUGCUGUGGACAUGAUCUAUCUUGACUUCCACAAAGCUUUUGACAAAGUGCCUCAUGAUACUCUGAUUAGCAAACCUGUAAAAAGUGGCCUAGAUGGAACAACAGUCAGAUGGAUCCACAGUUGGUUACAGAAUCGGACUCACAGUGUGCUCAUCAAUGGCACCUUCUCCAACUGGAGAGAGGUAACAUGUGGGAUACCACAGGGUUUAGUCCUGAGCCCACUGCUCUUCAACGUUUUCAUGAAAGACUUGGAUGAGGAAGUGCAGGGAAUGAUUAUGAGAUUUGCAGAUGACAGAAAACUGGGUGGGAUCAAUAAUAUCCUGGAAGACAGAAAGAACAUUCAAGGUUAUGUUGACAGGUUGAAGUGCUGGGCUAAAAACAACAGAAUAACAUUCAGUCAGGACAAAUGCCAAGUUCUGCACCUAGGAAAGGGAAAUGAAAUGCAUUGUUACAAAAUGGGGAAUACUUGACUCAGCAAUACUGCCAAUGAGAAGGAUCCUGGAAUUGUAAAUCACAAGUUGAACAUGAGUCAACAAUGUGAUCUGGCUGCAAAAUGGACAAAAGCUAUUUUAGGCUGCAUUGACAGAAGUAUCUCUUCCAAAUCACGUAAAGUGCUAGUUCUUCUCUAUUCAGCACUGGUUAGGCUUCAUCUGGAGUACCGUGUCCAGUUCUAGGCACCACAGCUGAAGAAAGAUGCAGACAAGCUGGAAAGAGUUCAGAGAAGAACAACAAGGAUGAUCCAGGGACUGGAAACAAAGCCCUGUGAGGAGAGAUUGAAAGAACUGGGCAUGUUUAGUCCCAGCAAGAGAAGAAAUGUGAUAGUGCUCUACAAGUACUUGAGGGGCUGUCGGACUUGGUUUAUACUGCUGCAUGCAAUGGAGAAGGUUGCCAGUUGGGCAGCCUUGCUCCACAAGUGUUUGUGGAUGUCUUCUCAGCUUGGCUCACUUUCCAAGACAGGGCCCCUCGCGAGAGGAAGUCUACAAAUACCAGACAGAUGGAUUCCAUGGAGCUUUGAUGCAUCCUUAGGUCCGUGUAUGUGGACUUUCUAACUGGAGAAUUUUACUGUCAAGUUCAGAUCACCCUGCUGAGGAUACUGCUGUUAUUUCAAGAGCAGAAGCCUAUAACUGAAGAUGUAGCUGGAUAUUUCAAAUUUAUCAUUUAUUAAUAUUUCAUUGUUAUCAUUCCUUACCUCUACAA